Molecule: ribosomal RNA, 365 nt
Filed under: Merliniidae environmental sample
Lineage: Eukaryota; Metazoa; Nematoda; Chromadorea; Rhabditida; Merliniidae
Description: SSU rRNA
Rfam family: Eukaryotic small subunit ribosomal RNA
Source: RNAcentral
UAGCUUUUUCAUGAUUCGGUGGAUGGUGGUGCAUGGCCGUUCUUAGUUCGUGGAGCGAUUUGUCUGGUUUAUUCCGAUAACGAGCGAGACUCUAGCCUACUAAAUAGUCUGCACAUUGCUUUGUGUCGCAGUACUUCUUAGAGGGAUUUUCGGUGUACAGCCGCACGAAAUUGAGCAAUAACAGGUCUGUGAUGCCCUUAGAUGUCCGGGGCUGCACGCGCGCUACACUGGCAAAAUCAGCGUGCUUGUCCUUUCCCGAAAGGGAUUGGUAAACCAUUGAAAAUUUGCCGUGAUUGGGAUUGGAAAUUGCAAUUAUUUUCCGUGAACGAGGAAUUCCAAGUAAGUGCGAGUCAUCAACUCGCGUU